GACGAACGCUGGCGGCGUGCUUAACACAUGCAAGUCGUACGGUAAGGCCCUUUCGGGGGUACCCGAGUGGCGAACGGGGGGGUAACACGUGAGUAACCUGCCCACAACUUUGGGAUAACGCUAGGAAACUGGGGCUAAUACUGGAUAUGUGCUCCUGCUGCAUGGUGGGGGUUGGAAAGCUCCGGCGGUUGCGGAUGGACUCGCGGCCCAUCAGCUUGUGGGUGGGGUAGCGGCCUACCAAGGCGGAGGCGGGUAGCCGGACUGGGAGGGUGACCGUGAACAGUGGGACUGAGAUACGGCCCAGACUCCGACGCGUGGCAGAAGCAGGGGAGGUUGAUAAAGGGGCGCGAGCCUGAUGCAGAAACGGCGCGGGCGGGAGGACGGUGUUCGGGUUGGAGUCCGAUUUCAGCAGUGACGGAGCUGUUUGUGACGGUACCUGCAGAAGAAGCACCGGCUAACUACGUG
This 465-nucleotide ribosomal RNA is filed under the name uncultured bacterium. RNAcentral describes it as "partial 16S ribosomal RNA". It matches the Rfam family "Bacterial small subunit ribosomal RNA", at positions 28 to 507 of the family's 1533-position model. The record is from RNAcentral.